RNAcentral lists this ribosomal RNA (294 nucleotides) under uncultured Glomus. RNAcentral describes it as "partial 18S ribosomal RNA". It matches the Rfam family "Eukaryotic small subunit ribosomal RNA", at positions 587 to 878 of the family's 1831-position model. The record is from RNAcentral. Lineage: Eukaryota; Fungi; Glomeromycota; Glomeromycetes; Glomerales; Glomeraceae.
AGCUCCAAUAGCGUAUAUUAAAGUUGUUGCAGUUAAAAAGCUCGUAGUUGAAUUUCGGGAUUGGCGCAUCGGUCGUGCCUCACGGGGUAUGAACUGGUGCAGUCAAUUUCUCACCUUCUGGAGAACCGCGAUGUCCUUAAUUGGAUGCCGCGGGGAACCAGGACCUUUACUUUGAAAAAAUUAGAGUGUUUAAAGCAGGCAUUUUUGCUUGAAUACAUUAGCAUGGAAUAAUAAAAUAGGACGGCAUGGUUCUAUUUUGUUGGUUUCUAGGACCACCGUAAUGAUUAAUAGGGA